RNAcentral lists this non-coding RNA (31 nucleotides) under Mus musculus (house mouse). The record is from RNAcentral. Lineage: Eukaryota; Metazoa; Chordata; Mammalia; Rodentia; Muridae.
UCCUCAUUUUGGCUUAUGAGUCCCUGCAGGA